This 428-nucleotide ribosomal RNA is filed under the name uncultured prokaryote. Its description in RNAcentral is "bacterial SSU rRNA". It matches the Rfam family "Bacterial small subunit ribosomal RNA", at positions 355 to 774 of the family's 1533-position model. The record is from RNAcentral.
UGGGGAAUAUUGCGCAAUGGGCGAAAGCCUGACGCAGCAACGCCGUGUGAGGGAUGAAGGCUUUCGGGUCGUAAACCUCUGUCGGAAGGGAAGAACGGGCAUUGGUCUAAUAGGCCUUUGUUUUGACGGUAACUUUAGAGGAAGCACCGGCUAACUCCGUGCCAGCAGCCGCGGUAAUACGGAGGGUGCAAACGUUAUUCGGAAUUACUGGGCGUAAAGCGCACGUAGGCGGCUUUGUAAGUCAGGGGUGAAAUCCCACGGCUCAACCGUGGAACUUCCUUUGAAACGUCAGAGCUUGAAUCCUGGAGAGGGUGGCGUAAUUCCUGGUGUAGGAGUGAAAUCCGUAGAUAUCAGGAGGAACACCGGUGGCGAAGGCGGCCACCUGGACAGGUAUUGACGCUGAGGUGCGAAAGUGUGGGGAGCAAACA